UGCCCCGGCUCGGGGCCGCGGUAGCUGCGAAGCCCCGGCGCCUCGAGGCGCCUCGAGGCGCGGCGCGCGGCUCUCGGACCCCCGCAGAGCUGCCGGAGCGGCCGCUGCCUGAGGGAGUCGGGGGCUGUGCGGUGUCCCCGCGCUGAGGCCGCAGCCGGAGAGUGAUUUAGUGAGCGGGAAGCGCGGCCUGCUCCUCAGAGCAGCGCGGGGCGGUGAUCCAGGUGUCUGUUGAGCUCCAAUACCAGCCCUGAGCCUUCAGUGCCUUGGCAGGCAGUCUGCAUGCUGGGGACAGAGUUCCAGUACUGUUUGAUGCUCUUUGGAACAGUGCCACUGGAGAAGCAGAUCCAUUACAACCUGUGGUGUGCAAAGUCUGGCUUUGGAGCUGGGGUAUACAGUGCAGACAACGUGUCAGUGAUUGGAGUAGUCUUCCUGCAUGUGGCAGCAGGACUCCACAGAUGCUAGACAGUGCUCCUUAGCUACAUCUUCCUUGCUACCUUCCACAGCAGUGGUGGGUCUGAGCUGCUGUGCGGCUUUAUCCUCAAGCAGUGCAACAGCAACACCCAGGUGUCAGCAUCCCCAUGAUGUCAGACGCCACUGCCCUAACAAAGGCACUGCUGCCAUGGGUGGCAGUUGAUGUCAUCUCAAUGGAGCCCGUGUUCCUGCAUCCAGCCACUCAUGUUGGAGUUCACAUACUUCUGUGAUCCUCACUACUUCUCACCUUUGGCCACAUCAUGCUUCAGGCUCUGGAACCUUUCAGAAAGGAGCUAAAAAGCUGAAGCCAGGAGGAACUACAUGAAACCAUCAGCACAAUGAACAGCAUUGCUGUUGGUACAGCAGUGCUAGGAAAGUCCUGAUGGAAAGAAUGAAACAAGGCACGGGACAGCAUUUCUUUCCAGUUUCCCCAUCCCCACAGGUAGGCACCCAAUAGUUACAGUCACUGAUUCAGAGCUGUGUCCAACAAGGUAUACCACUGGAGAGUGGUGUAACACAGGAACACUGAUAUUUACAGGUGUGCUCACCUCUCUGAAGAGGGGCCAGUUCACCUUUACAGCUAGAGACUGCCAACUAAUACAGAUCCUCCAAGAAGCCCAUGUACCUAAGAUGACUUCUACUCAGCAGAACACCCCUUAGAGAUACUUAUCCUACUGCUGUGAUCACACCCUCGGUAGGGUCACCUGACUGGUAAACAAACAGCAAACCAGCAUUUCCCAGCCGCUCCCUAAGGACUGACGCCUACCAGGACUGCCUAAUGCAGUUUUGAGAAAGACUCCAGAUGAUCUCUCCAGGCAGGGGGAGGUCAGAGGGCCAUCAGGCAGAACAGUAACUGCACACAAAGGUCACUUCAGCUAUGUGCAAGCCUUCAACAGAAGCUUGUCUCCAAAACAGUAAUUCUCUAGAGAUUGUGUAGCUGACCGUUAGCAAAGUUCUCCUUGACUAUAUGGAAGUAUUAAGAUGCAGACAAGAUCCUCAUCCUCUUAAAGGAGGAUGAUUCCUUUAAGUCUGUGCGAUGUUUCACUGCACUGUCUGGUUUCACCUUCUUCAUAUUGGUCUCCUCCAAAUUCAGGCCAAGCUAAUAUCCUGUGAAUAGAUACCCUGCUAUACCCUUCCUCCCUUUUUUUUUUUAUUUUAAACUCUAUUUUUCACAUGUUCAGACAGAACAAAGUACCUUCCAUAUCCAUUAGCUACUCCCUGUUCAGUUCUCAGAGGUCAAUGCUACAGGACAAGCUUCUGCCAACAUAUCAUUGCUGAUCUAAAGGAUAAGAUUCCUAACCAACAUGCUGUACCAGGCAGAAACCACUGCACCAAGAAAAAUUUCCUUUUCUACUCCCAUAGGAUGUAGGAAAUCUCUAAUAUUAAAGGAAACACAGAUCUGUCCUGGUUAACAUAAUAGUAUGAGAUAAUAUUAAUAAAAGAGUGCGUUGGGCUAUCAAAGUCCAUGCUAUUUUUUCCUCAGUUGUUCUUCCUAUGAGAAACUUUGCUUAUAAUUGCUGUAUGUUUACAACAGUUGCUAGAAUAAUCGUGACAUGCAUGCUGCAGCUAUAUUUAACAGGCAGCUUCUAAUAAGAGCAGAGGGAAGUUUGAUAAGAGCUACUAGGAAUUGCGCUACAGCAGCCUGAUUUCUUAGCUUAGUGAACAGCAUAGGACCUGUUUCACACAAUCAGCCUGCCUGCUUCCCAGUUCUCACAGAGCCAGAGAAAGCACUGUCAGAGCAAGGAGUUAACCCAUGCAGACAGGGUGCCUCCAAGCUCACUGUCCCACUCUCCAAGCCUCUUCAGCUGCUUGCUUUCACACUGCCUACUUCCUAUCCUGUUGCGUCAGUCUCUGCAAAUAGAUGCCAAGCUUGCCAGCAAAUUCGUGCAUCAGCAACUCACUUUUGUUGCUGUUCUCUUCUGCUUAACUGUUGUAAACAAGCUAUUUCUUCCUAAAUUGCUUAGACCCCAAUAAAAGCUGUUAUCUCUUC
Long non-coding RNA from Tympanuchus pallidicinctus (lesser prairie-chicken), 2461 nucleotides. RefSeq lists it as uncharacterized. The transcript has 3 exons. NCBI's taxonomy places the organism in Eukaryota, Metazoa, Chordata, Aves, Galliformes, Phasianidae. The record is from RefSeq and is a predicted model, not a curated record.